UUCAGUACAUAUGUUCAAGGAAGGUAGCAUUACACAUGUCAAAUUGAAGUCAAUCAUCUAACAAUGAGAACAUUUUCAUUGCAAAAGAAUAUCACUUCAAUUAAUCCAGAUAGUGUAUCAACUAUCAACACACUAAAAUUUGAUGCACAAAAAUGUGUAUUGACUCUAGGGCCAAUCUAGCAUUAACAUAACAACUUCAACCUAAUUUAACCUUACAUAGUCGAUUAACCUGGCAAUUAGCACUAAUGUUAUCCUAACUACAAUUACAACUUCACUUGAGCAUAACAACAAGGGCCAAUCCAGUAACCAGAAACAUGAAAAAUAGUAGUUGCAAACUUGUCCACAACAAUGGCAGCCUUGUUCUCCACCUUCACCUUGUUUAUCUUGAGCAACACUUCACCAAUCUGUACCUUCAUCUCAUGUAGCAAAAGCUUCAUCUUCAUGAACUACAUCUUCAAGUUCACAUAUGUCACCGCUACUACCUUUGCAUCUCCUUGCAGCAAGUGUGGAUGAUUGGAGCACAAGUAUUCCACAUAGGCAUCCUCAUACUAGUAGUAAGAACUAGAAUUGUCGUUCUGACAAAUCAACAUGGCACACCAAAUUAAAUCAUAAAAGCAGGGGACAAAAAUAAAUCUGGAAAAUGAAAUCCAACUCACCCAAAAAUUAUUUGGGCACUUAUGGAACACCACAUAAUUCUUGCACUCACACUCAAUCACCGAUGUGGCACUUGGGGUAGUUGGUCAGAGAAAAGGGCCUCUAGUGUCACAGACUAGCUAGAGUUUUCGACAGCGCUCGUCAUGGACAUGACCCCUCUUCUCGCUGAUGCGUUCAAAGGCUGACGACGAAGGAGAAGACCAAC
RNAcentral lists this long non-coding RNA (859 nucleotides) under Sorghum bicolor (sorghum). RNAcentral's name for it is "long non-coding RNA (SBIC_LNC004282)". Lineage: Eukaryota; Viridiplantae; Streptophyta; Magnoliopsida; Poales; Poaceae. The record is from RNAcentral.